CUGAAAGAUGAUCAGGUAGAUAGGUUUGGAGUGGAAGUGUAGCGAUACAUGGAGCGGACAAAUACUAAUCGAUCGAGGACUUAACCAA
Molecule: ribosomal RNA, 88 nt
Filed under: Listeria monocytogenes
Lineage: Bacteria; Bacillati; Bacillota; Bacilli; Caryophanales; Listeriaceae
Description: partial 23S ribosomal RNA
Rfam family: Bacterial large subunit ribosomal RNA
Source: RNAcentral